CCUACGGGAGACAGCAGUGGGGAAUAUUGGGCAAUGGCCGCAAGUCUGACCCAGCAACGCCGCGUGAAGGAAGAAGGCUCUCGGGUUGUAAACUUCUUUUUAGGGGGAAGAGCAGAAGACGGUACCCCUUGAAUAAGCCAUGGCUAACUACGUGCCAGCAGCCGCGUGAAUACGGAGGAGGCAAGCGUUGUCCGGAUUUACUGGGUGUAAAGGGCGUGCAGCCGGGAAGACAAGUCAGAUGUGAAAUCCCGCGGCUCAACCGAGGAACUGCAGUUGAAACUGUGUUUCUUGAGUAUCGGAGAGGUAGGCGGAAUGCGUAGUGUAGCGGUGAAAUGCAUAGAUAUUACGAAGAACACCGAUUGCGAAGGCAGAUUACUGGACGACAACUGACGGUGAGGCACGAAAGCGUGGGGAGCAAACAGGAUUAGAUACCCUUGUAGUC
RNAcentral lists this ribosomal RNA (442 nucleotides) under uncultured bacterium. Its description in RNAcentral is "partial 16S ribosomal RNA". It matches the Rfam family "Bacterial small subunit ribosomal RNA", at positions 338 to 795 of the family's 1533-position model. The record is from RNAcentral.